UUUAACACUUCAAAGGGUUCUUUCUAUUCUGAUCUGUUGGGUUUCUUUGUGUUGUUUAACCUUAGUGUCCUGACUCUACCUUUCCCUUUUUUCUCCCUUUCCUCAAAUUUUCCACUAUUUGCACACAGAUCUCUUCACACUGGGAACUGCUGACUGAGAUGCCUGUGCUCCACAGCCAAUAGGAGAGGGACUGACUCCGUGGACUGCUGUCUCCUCUGUCUCAACGUGUGCUUGCAUUUUACGUGCUGGCUUGGGUUAGGAAUUACUUUCCAGCUUCUAUGGGAACAGUUGUCAAGGAAACCUGUACAGUAUGGCUCUUGUGUGGUUCACCCGCCUGGUCGCAGACUGCAGCAUGGCUUCAUGGUACCAGUCAGAGACUCAAUGAAGAGGCUCUUCACACCUCAGUCAGGGAGACCACACCGUCUUCACAUGGUUUCCCCAGAACCUAAAACUCAGAGAGAAAAUAGAAGGGUGGGAACUGCAAGAUAGACCCCCAAGUUGUGAAUGAUACGGAUAAGUAGCCUAAGGCUUGCUUCCUCAGAAACACAGAUCAGGGGCUGGGAAGUGCCUCUUCUCAGGUCAAGGCCUUCCUGAGAACUUCAGAAUUCUGUGAGACAGUCACCAUCAAGAUAUGACUGGCUGCCCUUCCACACAUGGGGCCAGAGACACUGUGGUGGGCAAGAGGAAGAAAGAAGGCUGAAUUCAGGCUGCAGCAGAGCCACGUUGCUUCCCUGCCAGGUUUGCUGUGUUCACAGGUGCCUGAGACCAGAGCUUCCUUCCUCUUGCUUCUGAUGUUGCAAAUUUACAAGUCAGGAAUAUUCCCACGGGUAGGGGUGGGGUGGG
Molecule: long non-coding RNA, 843 nt
Filed under: Cricetulus griseus (Chinese hamster)
Lineage: Eukaryota; Metazoa; Chordata; Mammalia; Rodentia; Cricetidae
Description: lncRNA (ENSCGRG00015032341.1)
Source: RNAcentral